AUGCUAUCCUUCCUUUCGGUUACAUCAGGUUAAAAUAAAAGAUCUGGAUAAACAUGUAGAUCAUUCUGUGGAUAGCUAGCGGACGCGGGUUCGAUUCCCGCCGCCUCCACCA
RNAcentral lists this transfer-messenger RNA (112 nucleotides) under Gammaproteobacteria bacterium. RNAcentral's name for it is "partial transfer-messenger RNA". It matches the Rfam family "transfer-messenger RNA", at positions 258 to 374 of the family's 374-position model. Rfam says of the family: Bacterial tmRNA, also known as 10Sa RNA or SsrA, is named for its dual tRNA and mRNA-like properties. Its role is to liberate the mRNA from a stalled ribosome. Lineage: Bacteria; Pseudomonadati; Pseudomonadota; Gammaproteobacteria. The record is from RNAcentral.